Molecule: non-coding RNA, 5762 nt
Organism: Oryctolagus cuniculus (rabbit)
Lineage: Eukaryota; Metazoa; Chordata; Mammalia; Lagomorpha; Leporidae
Source: RefSeq, a predicted model, not a curated record
CUCCUGGCUUCGGAUCGGCACAGCGCCGGCUGUAGCACCAUUAGGGGAGUGAACCAACGGAAGGAAGACCUUUCUCUCUGUCUCUGUCUAUAACUCUCUCUCUGACUGUCUAUUUUUAUUUUUGUUGCCAGGCAGAGUUAAAGAAAAGAAAGAAAAGAGAAAGGAAGACCAACCAUUGUAAAAAUUGAAAUGGUGUAAAAUGCACACACAGAAGCACACAUGUGUACAUGGGCAGAUAGCAGAGACAAAGAUAUUUACUGUUUAUUUGACAGUUAGAGGGAGACAGAACCGAUCUUCCAUCCACUGGUUCAUUCCCCAAAUAGCCACAAUGGCCAGGGCUGUGCCAUUCUGAAGCUAGGAGCCCAGAGCUUCUUCCGGGUCACCCACAUGGGUGCAAAGGCCCAAGCACUUUGGCCAUCCUCUACUGCUUUCCCAGACCAUUAUCAGUGAGCUGGAUUGGAAGUGGAGCAGCUGGGACUUGAACCUGCACCAUAUGGGAUGAUGGCACUGCAGAUGCAAGCUAUACCUUCUACACCAUGGCACUGGCCCCGAGAAUGACUGGGAAGGGUGCUGCAGAGGUAGGUGCUCCUCCACUGAGGACGGGACUGCGCCCCACGAAUCACUGCAAGCUGGAAGCAGCAUAAACUGAGACACUCACACUACCGCAGUGAACACGGCAGAGCUUAGCCUGGCCCGCCUCCAAGGCACUCCGAACACUUACUGUGCAUACAGCCUGGCACAGUCACCUGACACAACCACUCUACAGUGCAGGACAUUUGUGCAACUUCUUGUCUACUGAAAGUGACACACAGAAUGGCUGCAUGAAUACACUUUUGCACCACUGUGAAGUCAAAAAACCUGAAGACGAACCACUGUAAGCGGGACCAGUUAUAUUCUGGCUGUCUGUGGCCCUAUUUGGCGGGGGGGGGGGGGCACAUUAGAUGGAUUUCUGCCCCAAAUGCAUGCCCAGAUGUGCAGUGUCUCUACAAACUCAGAGCAUUAGGCCAUAGCUAACUUUCUCCCAAACACCUGAACCUGACAGGUUCCUGCUUGCACUGGCUCCCUGAAUGUCUCCCGCCAACACCAGCUCCCGGAUUCUGUCUGCAGGUCCCAGGCAGAGGGUUCCCACUCAGCGGCCAACACUCCUGCCGGGCCUCACCACCACUCGCCGCAGUUGUGUGCUCUGGAGGGUUCCUCCCCCAGCUUGCCCAGGGACUGCAGACUAGAUCUGGCUGGAGAAAACCAGCCAACUUCCUGGCUGGGUGGGCCGAGUUCCAUUCUCCAUGGAGUUCUGAACCCCAGCCCUGGGAUGGGGUCUCUUACUAAGUUGAUACCAUAUAGAAUUCCUUUUAUCUUCUAGUUACUUGAUCAGAAUUGAGUAAUUCCUGGUGCUAAAUACUCCCUGUUCAACUCACUGGGUACAGCAACAGCAAUACCAAUGUUCUAGCAGGAAAUGCACCUGCCUUUCCACUGAGAGGAAUUCACUAUAUGGAGGAGAAGUAAAAACAAAUGAGCCAGUUUCCUCAUUUGCCACUUUUUUUCUUGCCUAAUUCUGAUUUCAUGGCGUGGCAAUCAGUCAAAGGCAACGAGCACACUCUUGUCUCUCGAGCUGGACUGUUCCAUCCGAGCCGAGACUAACAAAUCCGUGUGGGGGCCGCGCAAAAGGCUGACUGGGAUGAAUUUCAAUCAGAGCGGAAUUUCAGAUUACCCACACUUGGGAGUCUGAACCGAGUCUCUUGGAGGAAAAACAAUUAGUGCACUGGAGCCUGAGCAAGUGCUUAUUAGCUUGUUUAAAUUUAAAACCGAUCUAGAGAGGAGUCUGGGCAGGGGGCAACCUUGGGGGUUAUUUAAAAGUGGAGACAACACACACUUACAAUGCGGUAGCCAAUGACAGUAAACAUGAUAGGGCGUUGGACUUCUGAGACUCUGAAUUUCAACAAUUUUUAUUAAAAGGUUUUGAUUUAGAAGUAAGAAAACUGUUCAUGUACCCUCUGAUUUUAAAAUGGCCUUUAUCAUUUUAUCCCAUGCUUUAUCCCAAAGGGUUAAGGCAGCAAUAAAUACUUUAUCCUAAAUAAUCUUCUACUGGGUAGAAUGGCCCCUGUGACCACUUUAUGCCUUACUGAAGAUUAGUAAAUUAUUUCUGACCAAUGUUCCUUCUUCCUUCCAGUAGUAACAUAAAUAAACCUCAUGUCCUUAAAUAAUUCCAACUUAAUACAGAAAAAAUAAUUUCAACCUGACAGAAUAAAGCCAGCACUCUCAUGGACAACUAAACCAAAGACAAGCAAGUCUGGGACCAUAUAUAAAAAAGCCCACGUUUCCCAGGCCUCUAGAAAAAAGCCCGGGAUCUCAAUAAAUGAAAUUUGAAGGUGGAGCUCAAAGCCCCUGCCUCUGAUCAGAUGUGAACAAAGCAGGAACAGGAAGGACCUAGUAGGCGGUCCCGGCUGCUCCUCUCCAUUUGCUUCCAUGCAGCACCUGUUAAACCCUCACCCUCAACUGCGGAGACAGCCACCGAUUCUCGGGUUGACCCAAGACUCGCUCAUUCUCCAGUCUGGAAACCAGGUGUGCGGAUAAUGCAACCGGCAGCGUUGGUUCCCCUGGAGUGAAGCAGAACAGGCGUGGUUUCGACAGUGCGUGGAGAAGUGGGGGCCGAGUGGGCGGUCGGCCGGCAACCUGCCCAGGGACUUCUCCCGAGCCCCAGGGCGUGGAGGCCCUGUCCCUUCCUGCGGCUUCACAGGUCUCUGGGAGACCCUCACUGGGAAUAUUCCAAGAUUGACUCCCAAAUGACCACGGUCAUGGGCAAUUCUGAGAUGUCACAUGCCUCCUGGGACUGCCCAGCGGGCACGCUCCUAACCGCUGCACUCAGGGUCCGGGCGCAGGACACUGUGAGGAGGAAGCGUAGUGUUUACUAUAGACGAUCCUAACAGUAACAACGCAAAAGGAAAAAGGGAUAAACACAGGCUGCUUUUCUCAACGCCGACAAGCGGGUUGGUGAGUAUCGCAUCCACCUAGGAAUUAGAUUUCAAAGUCCCACUUGGAACCUCACUCAACAUUUCCACCUAACAAGAGCGGCUACAGCCCCAGGAGGGUGAGCCGGGCGGGUCUCUGCUGUGGGGUUACGACUUCUACAGCUAUGGAUCCGAAAGUCCUUGACAAAGACAAUGUGCACAGCGUCCUCUAGACACAGGCUUGGAAUCUGGGUGCCCAGGGUUCCCCUGCGGAUGCUGGCCGGCUGCGUCAGCCUGCUCUGACUGGCAGGACCCACGUGGGGGCAGCGGGACACCCAGGAUGCCCACCAGCUGGGGUGGAGCGCAGCCCCCGGACACAUCUGCUGGAUGCUCUGCUGUUCUGUAGCCGUGCAGGGGUUGUGGGUGCUGCUGCUGGUCCCCUGGGUUCCCAGGAGAUGGGGGCUCCGUAUGGGACGGCAGCUUCGAAGACACUCCUGGGGAACCAAGGUUCCUUCUUCAAUUCUAUCCGUGCAGUCACGGAGCGCAUAAGCCACGAACAAGGCAGCAGUGCUGGCUGACCGCUCCCAAGAAACUUCUGGGUGGUCUCUCGUUUCUACGGCAAUCAGAGGACAAAGGUACUAGGGACCAAAACUACAGUUUGGAUAUUCUCAACCAGAAGAUAAAAUUUCACUAAAAUGGACGGAGUCAAACCAAGGGCAUGGGGGAUGCUUGUCCUCGGACUCCCUGAAAGUUUCACUCUGGCUGGCUGCCUGGUAUCUGCAAACCCGAGUAAGAAAGGGAUUAGCCACGGAUCAGACACACGAAGAAACCAACUAGCCCACCCAGGCGCGGCCUGGGAUGUGCCACGGGCUCCAAGUACAAGCCCACCGCCACCUCCACCGGCGGUGACAGCGGAGGCCAGCCCCCGCCUGCCUUGCACUUCCCGUCUGUUUUACGAAGCUUACAGCCAGAGCUUAGGAGUCACCUACACAAGACUGUGCACAAUCAGUCUUCAGGAGCUGAGAGAAUUUCUAAUCAAGAAUGUAGCCAAUGGGGUUGGGAAAGUGUCAUGCAAACAGCCUGACUGUGGAUUUGGGGUUUCACGGCCCUGCCCACCACCACCAGGAAGCACGCGGAACGCUGGGCUGACCUGCGGCACAGAGCCUCCCUCCUGUGGCAGAGCAGGCAGCAGUAGACACUGGGACUCCUCCCCCCAAGGACGCAGCCAGGCGUGGACGUCCCCUGGUGUUUGUACAGCAAAGCCGGAGAGGCCAAGCGUGUAACGAAGAAGCGAGGCUCCACGCUGGGGGUGCGGCUAUCUUUGGAAUUCUUCAUUAAGGUUUUCACAAAAUACAAAGCUGAGACGGAACUCUAGGUCCACCACAAAGCUGAAUCAAGUGAGUGGUUAGCACACAAACACAAUGAUCUCUGUCAUCUUGAAAAAAUAUAAAUAACAACAGCAAGGCUCAUGUCUUCGCGAGUGUGUCUUUUUAAGGCUCUGUGUUGCAGACCCUGCUUCUGUGGACUGGCACCUGUGGCCAGGACACACUGCUUCCCCCAACCCCGGGCCAGGAAGGCCGCCGUGGGGACAUGCCCAAGGGCGACACAUGCUGGUCUACGUUGCCUCAGCUUGUUAGAAACUAAAGGAUCCAUCGACACCCCCCGCCACCCUGGGGUCUCCCGGUGUCGUUACCGUUCCUCCUACCACAGAGCAAUCGAGAGGCCGCGUUCCCAGCAGCACUCAAGCUCUCGGGAGGGCUAGAGAGGAAACUUCCUGUCACCCAGAGAACCCAUCACCCAUUCAGUCUGAACGUCUGUGCUGCAACAGCCUCUCAGAUUAAACAGUGCUCAGGGAAGGGACGGUGUGGCUGGCGUCCUAGAGGGGAGGCUCGCCGGCGAGGGCCGGGGGCAGGGCCGGGGCCCCAGCCUUGGGGGUGAAGCCCGAGGGCAGGCUCUCCAGCAGGCACUUGACCUGCUCCUGGCCCAGCUUGAUCUUGUCGUCCAGCUUCCGCUGCUCGAUGAGGAGCGUGGACUUCAUCUUCACGAAGUGCUGGUAGUCCUGGAGCUGCUCCUCCGACAGGUAGUUGGCCAGGAUGUCCAGCACCACGCGCUCGCGGCGGUCCAGGUUCUCCUUGAGCUCGCGGGCGUCCUCGUGCUGGCUGGCCAGGAUCUUCCUCUUCUGGUGCAGAGAGCUCUGCGGGGCAAAACACACAGGUCAGCUAAGGGCCGGGCAGGAGCCGGGCCCCUAAACAAGGGAGCCUCUUCCGGGACGCGAAAUGGCUGUUUUCUAGCCUGCUUGUCCCUCCAGACACUGACGACCAGCCCGGCAUUCUGAGGCUGCGUACCACACUCUCCCACUUGUACAGUCAUUCAGGAGCUCCACACUGACAGGGGCUAGGUCUUGGCUGGGGACUCGACUUUUGGGGUCAAGGCUUAAAAAAACAGCCAACAUGUUGCCUUAAAUAAAUGCUUACAAGGGUACUGCAAGAUGAAAUUGAAAGUAUGCAUUUACAGGGCCGGCACUGUGGGGCAGGUGAAGCCUCUGUCUGCGGUGCUGGCAUCCCAAAUGGGUGCCAGUUUGAGUCUGGGCUGCUCUAUUUCCAAUCCAGCUCCCUGCUAAUGCACCUGGGAAAGCAGCAGAAAAUGGCCCAAGUGCUUGAGUCCCUGCACCCAGUUGGGAGACCCAAAAGAAGCUCCUGGCCUCAGCCUGGCCCAGCCCUGGCUGUUGCAGCCAUUUGGAGGAGUGAACCAGUGGAUGGAAGAUCUGUUUCUCUCCUAUUUUUGCCUUUCAAAUAAAUAAAUCUUUUUAAGUAUGCA